CCGCCUCAGCCAAAGCCCCCGCCAUUCCCGCCUCAGGAAAGCCCCGCCCCUCCCGCCUCAGGCACCCUCUUGUAGGGCGGGCUCUUGAGGUGAAGACGCUGGGUGUUUCUGCUUGUCCCUCUGUUUUGGGGAUGGGUGAUGCUCGUUGUGCAUUCCCCAGUGCUGGUGGCUGGCAUUCCUUCCCGGGCGCUGCUGGCAGCUGCUCCCUGCCGGGUGAGAUGCGGACAUUGGGAAGAGCAGGCGGGCAGUGCUGUCACUCCGUGUUGGGCUUGUCCUGCCACCUGUGCCGGGGCUUGUGUGGAAAUAAACAUUGAGGAGCUCGUCCCGCUGCGGUUUCAUGGAGAGCAGAUGAUGCCCUGAGAAAAACUAGGAGACCUUUUGGGAAUCCUGCUGUGAAGAAGUUUAGGAAAAUUAAAAUUGUUUUAAGAUGCGCUCCUCUCCUUGAGAAUCUCCUGGAUGCUGCGAAUGUGAAAUCUGUUCAGCAAGAAAAUUCAGCAUUUGAGGAUUGCCUAGAAAUUUCCACAUGAAAACUGUACAAAGAGAAGAAUGAAGAAAUAAGUAAUAAGCAGCAGUCUGACCAAAGAAAAUAAGCUGACCCUUAUGUUGUCUAGCAGCUGUAUGGGGAAAACAUUUCUCCAUUGUGGGCAGCUGUGUCCCAGAAGGCUGAGGAAAGGAAAAGGGAGCAUUUGUCAUCACCUACAACAUUAGUACAUGUAACAUGCAAAUCCAUAGAAUUAUGGCAGCCUCUGUUCCACAUCAGUUCGCUGUCCCCUCUCUUGUGUGUCAGAAUCAAGAAGUCACAGAAGAUUAUGAAAAGGAGUAUUGACAUAGGGAAAAAAUGCACCCUUCUUGCACAUUUCUUCUGCCAGUAAUUCUGUGUCCCUGAUUGGAUUCAUGUGGGAUUUCAGCUGUGAACACAUGAAAGGCUUGCAUGUUCAGUGCUAAAUAAUGCAACGGUUCAGCAAAGCUACUGACAUAAUUUUGAAAAACUGCAACUGCAUGCUGGGAUUUCACAACGAAAGGGGCUGCAAGGACACAGAAGGAGCUCAAAAGGACACCUCAUGCCUCACUUCAUUCAUAAUUUAUCUUUCCCUUCCUUGAUCUCCUACCUUUUACAGCCACAACAGUAAGUUUCAUUUCAGCUGAAAUAUAAAAACCCUGCACUUUAUAGCUGUUUAUGCUGUUGUUUAACCAGAUUAGCUAUUUCUUUUUUCACUUAAUGAAGCCACUAGAGCCUUCUGCCUCCUGUUUUACAGCACAAAAGUUCAUCAGCUAUUUUAAUUUCAAUUUAUUGAGCUAUGGUUUCUGUAAAUACAUCGGCAGCAAAAAGAAGGUUAUGGAAAAUGUGGGACUACUGUGAGGCAACUAUAAAGAGCUUUGCUUUAUUUCAUCUGCUUUGGAUGAUAAAACACAGGUUGUAGACAGGAUCCAGGCUCAAAGGAGGUGACUGAUACAGUAGGGCAGUUCUGUAGUAUUUGGAAAUGAUGAUUAAAGAAAAAAAAAAUUGACUGCAGCCUAUUCCAUAAGGCAGAUAAUUAAUAGCAUAGAAUAGUACCAGUUGGGAGAGCCCUAUAAACAUCUCCUAGUCCAACUGCCUGAUAAGUAUCUAUUUUCAGAUUAUUUAGAAGCAAAAGGUAUAUUCAGAAAAAAAUUCAAACUGUUUUGGCCAUCUUUAUGCGACCAUAUGAGUGCAAAAAAUCAGAACUAAAAUUAAAAUGUUAUGAGUGCAAGUAAAAGGCCUGUGCUUGCACUCUGGUAUCACCUUAGAGAGUGGUGGCUGACACAGGCCAGCGCUGUGCUAGGGAGCUGUGGACACUUAAGCCAUGCCAGGGGACACUGGCCCAGUUCUAGGCUUGCUGUGGCACUGUUUGAUUGAGCACUAAUGGUGGAACCACAAAGAUUUCAUCACAAGCCCU
Long non-coding RNA from Passer domesticus (house sparrow), 1916 nucleotides. RefSeq lists it as uncharacterized. The record is from RefSeq and is a predicted model, not a curated record. Lineage: Eukaryota; Metazoa; Chordata; Aves; Passeriformes; Passeridae. The transcript has 4 exons.